CCGCGGUAAUUCCAGCUCCCAAAGCGUCUUCUACUUCUUCUCCCCUUGGAGGGUUCGUAGUUGAACUGUGAGCCGGGCUGGCGCCGCGCUCCGAGCCACACACAGAGGGUGCGUGGUACGUGGCGCGCGCUUUCCGCGAACACUCAGACACAAGCAUCGCGGGAACGCUUCCACACACCACGCGUGUCAUGCACGCACGGGGCGCCCGCGAGUCUUUACUGUGACCACAGAAGCGCGGCCCGAGCAGUCCGCCGGAACGAAUUGCAAAGCAUGACAAAACAAACUAUCAGCCUCCGGGCCACCGUUUCGGCUUUUGUUGG
Molecule: ribosomal RNA, 320 nt
Filed under: Trypanosoma sp. T78
Lineage: Eukaryota; Euglenozoa; Kinetoplastea; Trypanosomatida; Trypanosomatidae
Description: bacterial SSU rRNA
Source: RNAcentral